UUGGCAGGAUUUAGAGACUGAUCAUUUCAAUUUAUGCCCAGAACAGGUAGGGCAGCAAUGAAAGCCUCUCCCACCCAACCCCACCCCUUCUCACCAGUGUGCCUCAACCCUGCCCUGGAGGGACCACCUGGAGGGCUGAGCAGGGAGUUCCCUCCUCUGCACAAUAAAAAGGCCCCA
Molecule: unclassified non-coding RNA, 177 nt
Organism: Cyanistes caeruleus (blue tit)
Lineage: Eukaryota; Metazoa; Chordata; Aves; Passeriformes; Paridae
Source: Ensembl